UACGUAGGGGGCAAGCGUUGUCCGGAAUUAUUGGGCGUAAAGGGCGCGCAGGCGGUUUGGAAAGUCUGAUGUGAAAGCCCACGGCUCAACCGUGGAGGGACAUUGGAAACUGUCAGACUUGAGUGCAGGAGAGGAGAGCGGAAUUCCACGUGUAGCGGUGAAAUGCGUAGAGAUGUGGAGGAACACCAGUGGCGAAGGCGGCUCUCUGGCCUGUAACUGACGCUGAGGUGCGAAAGCGUGGGGAGCAAACAGG
Molecule: unclassified non-coding RNA, 253 nt
Filed under: uncultured Caryophanales bacterium
Lineage: Bacteria; Bacillati; Bacillota; Bacilli; Caryophanales
Description: uncultured Bacillales bacterium contains 16S-23S intergenic spacer region
Rfam family: Bacterial small subunit ribosomal RNA
Source: RNAcentral